Balaenoptera musculus (blue whale) is the source of this 73-nucleotide small nucleolar RNA. NCBI's taxonomy places the organism in Eukaryota, Metazoa, Chordata, Mammalia, Artiodactyla, Balaenopteridae. The record is from Ensembl.
UGGACCAAUGAUGAUGACUGAUAUCGUAUGAGUCAUGGAUGAUGAAUACUACGUGUCUGAAACUCAGGUUCAG